This 432-nucleotide ribosomal RNA is filed under the name uncultured bacterium. RNAcentral's name for it is "partial 16S ribosomal RNA". It matches the Rfam family "Bacterial small subunit ribosomal RNA", at positions 29 to 506 of the family's 1533-position model. The record is from RNAcentral.
AACGAACGCUGGCGGCAUGCCUAACACAUGCAAGUCGAACGAGACCUUCGGGUCUAGUGGCGCACGGGUGCGUAACGCGUGGGAACCUGCCCUUAGGUUCGGAAUAACUCCCCGAAAGGGGUGCUAAUACCGGAUAAUGUCUUCGGACCAAAGAUUUAUCGCCUUUGGAUGGGCCCGCGUUGGAUUAGCUAGUUGGUAGGGUAAAAGCCUACCAAGGCGACGAUCCAUAGCUGGUCUGAGAGGUUGAUCAGCCACACUGGGACUGAGACACGGCCCAGACUCCUACGGGAGGCAGCAGUGGGGAAUAUUGGACAAUGGGCGAAAGCCUGAUCCAGCAAUGCCGCGUGAGUGAUGAAGGCCUUAGGGUUGUAAAGCUCUUUUACCCGGGAUGAUAAUGACAGUACCGGGAGAAUAAGCUCCGGCUAACUCCGU